RNAcentral lists this ribosomal RNA (254 nucleotides) under uncultured bacterium. RNAcentral describes it as "partial 16S ribosomal RNA". It matches the Rfam family "Bacterial small subunit ribosomal RNA", at positions 524 to 776 of the family's 1533-position model. The record is from RNAcentral.
UACGGAGGGUGCAAACGUUGCUCGGAAUCAUUGGGCGUAAAGCGCACGUAGGCGGCCUGAUAAGUCGGGUGUGAAAUCCCCGGGCUCAACCCGGGAACUGCGUCCGAUACUGGCAGGCUUGAAUCCGGGAGAGGGAUGUGGAAUUCCAGGUGUAGCGGUGAAAUGCGUAGAUAUCUGGAGGAAUACCGGUGGCGAAGGCGGCAUCCUGGACCGACAUUGACGCUGAGGAGCGAAAGCUAGGGGGAGCAAACGGG